AUCGCGAACUACGCCAUGGCCUACGGCUGUCUAGAGGAUAGUGAGUUUGUGUAGUGUGCUAGAUUUCGAGGAGUUAUUUAUGGAGAGUGGCAGCACUUAAAGGCCGGCGGCGGGGGAGUAGGAGGGAGGGCGGACGUCGGGACGAGGCUGGCGAAGGAACCAGAGCGGACCCAAAUCGCGCCCUGGAAGGUGCGCGCAGAGAGGGUGAGAGCCCCGUUGUUCCCGGCGGACCGGACGUCAAGCACGCACCGAGGCGCUGUCGUGCGAGCUCGGGUUGUUUGGGAAUGCAGACCGUGGCUAUCUGGGGCGGUAAAUUCUGGCGUCCAAGGUAAAUAACUCGAGUGAGACCACGCAAUAGGCAGAACAAAUACAGUUGCAGGGAAGAACUGAAAGGACUCUUGAAAAAAAGAGAGUCCAAAGAGGUGCUGAAUGUGUUCCGGGAGGGAAGCGGAUGGGCGGCCGGCGAUGCGCCCCGGUCGGCAUGUGGAACGGCGACGCUGGUCCGCCAUCGACUCGGGGCGUCGACCUCGACGCGGAUUGCGACGGUGGCCCAGCCGCGGGCCGUCGAUAGGCCCGCGGAUACGUCAUUCGUUGCGAUUGUGGUAGCGCAGCGCGCCGCCUGGCUGGUGCUUCGGCACCUGCGCGCUCCGGGCGUCGCCUGUGGGCUGUGCAUACGCUUAUUACGCCAGCUCCUGUUCUAGGUAGAAACGAUACUUGGCUUCACGAACAGGAGUCUCUGACUUUGCGAGUCCACUCGGGAUGAACCCGCGGGGGACGCAAGGAAGCCUAUUGCAGGCGAUCCCCCCGGAGGUUGCACGUCCGCCGACUACAUCCUUCUGUGAAGGAUUCCAGAGUAGAGCAUGCCUUCGGACCGAAAAGAUGGUGAAACUAUGACAGCGCGACGUGAGGGUCGGGUGCCGAGAGAAUCCGUGAGAGGCCGCAGCGUCUACGUGAAGAUUCGUUCAUGCGCUGACUUGGGUAUCAGGGGGAAAGAAAUCAACCGAUAUUGAUAGCUGGUUCCUAGAAGUUUCCUCAGGAUAGCUGGAGCCGCGGGCUGUUCUAUCGGGUAAAGCCACAAUGAUUAGAGGCAUCGGGGGCGCAACGCCCUCGACCUAUUCUAAACUUUAAAUAGGGUAGACGGGCGGCUGCUCUGUUGAGCCGUCACGGAGUCGGGACUACAAUGGGCCUUUUUGGUAAGCAGAACUGGCGAUGCGGGAUGAACGGAAGUCGGGUUACGGUGCCAACUACGCGCUAACCUAGACCCCACAAAGGUGUUGGUCGAUUAAGAGCAGGACGGUGGUCAUGAAGUCGAAAUCCGCUAAGAGUGUGUAACAACUCACCUGCCGAAUCAACUAGCCCCGAAAAUGUGGCGCUGAAGCGCGUGACUAUACCCGCCGUCGGGAAGCAGGAUGCGCGAUGAGUAGAGGGCGCGGCGGUUUGCAAAACCUGGGGCGCGGCCGGGCGAGCGGCCGUCGGUGCAGAUCUUGGUGUAGUCAAAUAUUCUGAUGAACUUUGAAGGCCGAAGAGGGAAAGUUCGCAUGUGAACGGCACUGUCACAUGGGUUAGUCGAUCAACAGGAGAGGGGAAGAGUCUGAUAGCGCGCGCUGGCGCGUACCGAAAGGGAAUCGGUUAAAAUUCUGAACGACGUGGCACGGCACGAUUAGUAUUGACGGAGACGUCGGCGGGGCCUCGGAAGAGUUAUCUUUUCUUUUAACAGCCUGCCCACCUGGAAACGGCUCAGCCGGAGUAGGGUCCAGCGGCUGGAAAAGCACCGCACGUCGCGUGUGUCCGGUGCGCCCCCGGGGCCCUUGAAAAUCCGGAGGACCGAGUGCCUAUCACGCCGGUCGUACUCAUAACCCAUCAGUCUCCAAGGUGAAGCCUCUGGUCGAUGGAAGUAGGCAAGGGAAGUCGGAAAAUGGAUCCGUACCUCGGGAAAAGGAUUGGCUUGGGCUGGGCGGGGGUCCAGCCCCGCCCCGUCGCGCUGUCGGUGGACUUGUCGAGAUGCUCUCGUGGCGAGAGCGGAGGUCGCGGUGCGUCGGGAGGGACGAAUUGGGAUAGGCCCUCGGGGCCUCUUCCCGGCGUCGAACAGUCGAUCCAGAACUGGUACACAGAGGAGAAUCCGAUCUGUUAAUUAAAACAGCUUGCGAUGUACCCUGCGGAUCUUGACGCAAUGUGAUUUCUGCCCAGUCUGAAUGUCAAGUGAAGAAAUUCAACCAACGCGGGUAAACGGGGGAGUAACUAUUACUCUUAAGGUAGCCAAAUGCCUCGUCUCUAAUUAGUGACGCGCAUGAAUGGGAUUACGAAUCCCACUGUCCUGUCUACUAUCCAGCGAAACCACAGCCAAGGGAACGGGUUUGGGAAUCAGCGGGGAAAGAAGACCCUGUGUAGCUUGACUCUAGUCCGACUUUGUGAAAUGACUUGAGAGGUGUAGGAUAAGUGGAGGACGGACGCGAAAGUGAAAUACAUACUUUAACUUAUUUACUAUUACGUAUCGAAGAGAGGCGGGCAUUGCCCCUCUUUUUGGACCAAGGCUGGCUGGUCGAUCGCGGCGGAAGACUUGUCAGGUGGGGAGUUUGGCUGGCGGCACCAUCUUUAAGAUAACGCAGGUGUCAAAAUACUCAAAAAACAGAAAUUCGUGUGAACAGAAGGUAAAAGCUCGUGAUUCUGAUGUUUCCAGUACGAAACGAACCGUGAAAGGUGCUAGACGAAUCUUUAGACGACUGGCAUUGAAGCUAGAGGUGUAAGUAUACCACAGGGAUAUGGCUUGUGGCAGCCAAGCGUUCAUAGCGACGUUGCUUUUGAAUCAUUUGACGAAUGAUCGGUUUCCUAUCAGUGAAGCAGAAUGACAAGUGUAUGACAUUGUUUCCAACACGAUAGGGAAGAGUGGGUUUAGACGUCGUAGGAGAGCAAGGUUAUUAUUACCUCUAGUAGGGAAUAAGUCGUCGCAAUGUAAAUUAACUUACUAGUACGGAAGGAACCGUGAAUCGGCAACAAUUGGUCCAUCGGCUUGGUUGAAAGCAGUGGCGCGGUCCUCCCGUCGUUGGAUGUAGUCGCUGAACGCUUAUAAGUUCGAAGAACGGGCUCAGAAGCCGACGCGUGAGCACAGAUUGG
This 3111-nucleotide ribosomal RNA is filed under the name Arachis monticola. RNAcentral's name for it is "eukaryotic LSU rRNA". It matches the Rfam family "Eukaryotic large subunit ribosomal RNA". Lineage: Eukaryota; Viridiplantae; Streptophyta; Magnoliopsida; Fabales; Fabaceae. The record is from RNAcentral.